RNAcentral lists this ribosomal RNA (301 nucleotides) under uncultured bacterium. Its description in RNAcentral is "partial 16S ribosomal RNA". It matches the Rfam family "Bacterial small subunit ribosomal RNA", at positions 509 to 808 of the family's 1533-position model. The record is from RNAcentral.
CAGCCGCCGCGGUAAUACGUAGGUGGCAAGCGUUGUCCGGAAUUAUUGGGCGUAAAGCGCGCGCAGGCGGAUAGGUCAGUCUGUCUUAAAAGUUCGGGGCUUAACCCCGUGAUGAGAUGGAAACUGCCAAUCUAGAGUAUCGGAGAGGAAAGUGGAAUUCCUAGUGUAGCGGUGAAAUGCGUAGAUAUUAGGAAGAACACCAGUGGCGAAGGCGACUUUCUGGACGAAAACUGACGCUGAGGCGCGAAAGCCAGGGGAGCGAACGGGAUUAGAUACCCGCGUAGUCCCUGUCUCUUAUACC